AGAGUUUGAUCAUGGCUCAGAGUGAACGCUGGCGGCGUGCCUAAUACAUGCAAGUCGAACGUGAAAGUCCUUCGGGAUGAGUAAAGUGGCGCACGGGUGAGUAAUACGUGGGAACGUGCCCUAAGGUGGGGAAUAACUGUUGGAAACGACAGCUAAUACCGCAUAGUCUCGCAAGAGUAAAGGUGGCUUCCGCAAGGAGCUAUCGCCAUAGGAUCGGCCCAUGUCCCAUUAGCUAGUUGGCGGGGUAAUAGCCCACCAAGGCAACGAUGGGUAACUGGUCUGAGAGGAUGAUCAGUCACACUGGAACUGAGACACGGUCCAGACUCCUACGGGAGGCAGCAGUAGGGAAUAUUGCACAAUGGGGGAAACCCUGAUGCAGCAACGCCGCGUGAGUGAAGAAGGCCCUUGGGUUGUAAAGCUCUUUAGCUAGGGAAGAAGCUUUAUAUGGCUAAUAUCCAUGUAAGGUGACGGUACCUGGAGAAUAAGCACCGGCUAAUCUCGUGCCAGCAGCCGCGGUAAUACGAGAGGUGCAAGCGUUACUCGGAAUCACUGGGCGUAAAGCGCACGUAGGCGGAUUUGUAUGUCAAUUGUGAAAGCCCAAGGCUCAACCUUGGAAUCGCAGUUGAAACUGCAUUUCUUGAAUACUUGAGAGGGUGGGGGAAUACCUAGUGGAGAAGUGAAAUUCGUAGAGAUUAGGUGGAACACCAGAGGCGAAGGCGCCUGCCUGGCAAUGUAUUGACGCUGAGGUGCGAAAGUGCGGGGAGCAAACAGGAUUAGAUACCCCCGUAGUCC
This 792-nucleotide ribosomal RNA is filed under the name uncultured delta proteobacterium. RNAcentral's name for it is "bacterial SSU rRNA". It matches the Rfam family "Bacterial small subunit ribosomal RNA", at positions 8 to 796 of the family's 1533-position model. Lineage: Bacteria; Deltaproteobacteria. The record is from RNAcentral.